GGGGGGAGCAAGCGUUGUUCGGAAUCACUGGGCGUAAAGGGCGCGUAGGCGGCCGCGUAAGUCGCGUGUGAAAGGCCGGGGCUCAACCCCGUGUACUGCAUGUGAUACUGCGUGGCUUGAGAAAGGUAGAGGCGAGCGGAAUUCCCGGUGUAGCGGUGGAAUGCGUAGAUAUCGGGAAGAACACCAGUGGCGAAGGCGGCUCGCUGGGCCUUUUUCUGACGCUGUAGCGCGAAAGCGUGGGGAGCAAACAGGGAUUAGAUACCCUGGUAGUCCACGCCGUAAACGAUGGGUACUAGGUGUUGGGAGGAUUGACCCUUUCAGUGCCGACGCUAACGCAUUAAGUACCCCGCCUGGGGGAGUACGGCCGCAAGGCUG
RNAcentral lists this ribosomal RNA (375 nucleotides) under uncultured organism. RNAcentral's name for it is "partial 16S ribosomal RNA". It matches the Rfam family "Bacterial small subunit ribosomal RNA", at positions 527 to 896 of the family's 1533-position model. The record is from RNAcentral.